UGGUGGUACAGAUGGUUAAUGUGUUUGGCUGCUAACCAAAAGGUUGGAGGUUCAAGUCUCCCCA
Molecule: transfer RNA, 64 nt
Filed under: Loxodonta africana (African savanna elephant)
Lineage: Eukaryota; Metazoa; Chordata; Mammalia; Proboscidea; Elephantidae
Rfam family: tRNA
About the family: Transfer RNA (tRNA) molecules are approximately 80 nucleotides in length. Their secondary structure includes four short double-helical elements and three loops (D, anti-codon, and T loops).
Source: Rfam by way of RNAcentral